RNAcentral lists this ribosomal RNA (838 nucleotides) under uncultured bacterium. RNAcentral's name for it is "bacterial SSU rRNA". It matches the Rfam family "Bacterial small subunit ribosomal RNA", at positions 524 to 1381 of the family's 1533-position model. The record is from RNAcentral.
UACGAGGGAUGCAAGCGUUAUCCGGAAUUAUUGGGCGUAAAGCGUUUGUAGGCGGGCGAGUGUGUUUAGUGUUAAAUCUUAAAGCUCAACUUUGAAAUUGCGUUAAAAACUGCUUGUCUUGAGUAUGGUAGGGGUAAAGGGAAUUCCCAGUGUAGCGGUGAAAUGCGUAGAUAUUGGGAAGAACACUAAACAGCGAAGGCACUUUACUAGGCUAAUACUGACGCUGAGAAACGAAAGGUAAGGUAGCGAAACGGAUUAGAUACCCGUGUAGUCUUACCCGUAAACUAUGGACACUAAACGGUAAAUUUUUAAUUUACUGUUAAAGCUAACGCGUUAAGUGUCCCGCCUGGGGAGUAUGCUUGCAAAAGUGAAACUCAAAGGAAUUGACGGGGGCCCGCACAAGCGGUGGAGCAUGUGGUUUAAUUCGACGGUACACGAAGAACCUUACCAGGAUUUGACAUGCUAGAUAGUUGCUUGAAAGAGUAACGUGCCGUAAGGAAUCUAGACACAGGUGGUGCAUGGCUGUCGUCAGUUCGUGUUGUGAAAUGUUGGGUUAAGUCUCGCAACGAACGCAACCCUUGUCUUUAGUUAUUUUCUAAAGAGACUGCCUGUAAUAAACAGGAGGAAGGUAAGGAUGAGGUCAAGUCAUCAUGCCCCUUAUGUCCUGGGCUACACACGUGCUACAAUGGGAAAGACAAUGAGCUGCAAAUCUGUAAAUUUAAGCAAAUCUCUUAAACUUUCUCGUAGUUCGGAUUGUGGGCUGCAACUCGCCCACAUGAAGUUGGAAUCGCUAGUAAUCGCCAGUCAGCUAUAUGGCGGUGAAUCCGUUCCCGGGCCU